This is a non-coding RNA of Catharus ustulatus (Swainson's thrush), 396 nucleotides long. NCBI's taxonomy places the organism in Eukaryota, Metazoa, Chordata, Aves, Passeriformes, Turdidae. The record is from the annotation of a RefSeq genome assembly.
CUUGUUCCCGCAGGGCUCCGGGCGGCCGUGACCCUGCUGGAGUGUGGGGGGGACCUCCAGCCCCCCGGGGGGUCCCUGACUCUGCUCUGCCGUGGGUCUGGAUUCACGUUUGGGAGUUUUGGCAUGUACUGGGUCCGCCAGAGCCCCGGGAAGGCGCUGGAAUCUGUCGCAGGGAUCAGCAGCAAUGGUAGCACCACCUACUACGCGCCAUCAGUCAAGGGUCGGUUCACGAUCUCCAGGGACAACGGGCAGAGCUCGGUGACGCUGACCAUGAACAGCCUCAAGGACGAGGAUUCCGCCGUUUAUUUCUGUGCCAAAAGUGCUAGUGCUGGUGCUGGUUGGGGUGCUGGUGCUAUCGAGAACCGGCCCUGGACUGACGGCGCGUACCAGGUGUAA